AGAGUUUCGAUCCUGGCUCAGGAUGAACGCUGACACAAUGCUUACCACAUGCUCCUCCGCUUGAAUUUGGGUUUUUAUCUUAUAUUUGGGUGGCGGACGGGUGAGUAACCCGUAAACAACUUGCCUCACAGCUAGGGACAACAUUUAAAAAUGAAUGCUAAUACCUGAUAUUAUGGUUAUAGGGCGUCCUAUAAUUAGGAAAGCUAUAUGCACUGUGAGAGAGCUUUGCGUCCCAUUAGCUACUUGGAGAGGUAACAUCUCACCCAGGCGAUGAUGGGUACCCGGCCUGAAAGGGUGAACGGCCACAUCGGGACUGACACCCGGCCCUUACUCCUACGGCAGGCAUCAGUGGGGAAUAUUGGACGAUGGACCGAGAGUCUGAUCCAUCCAUUCUGUGUGCACGAUGAAGUUUUUCGGAAUGUAAAGUGCUUUCAGUUGGGAAGAAAUAAAUGACGGUCCCGACAGAAGAAGAGACGGCUACAUACUUGCCACCUUCCGCGGUAAUACGUAUGUCGCAAGCGUUAUCCGGAUUUAUUGGACGUAAAGCGCGUCUACGUGCUUAUGUAAGUCUGAUGUGAAAAUGCUUGGCUCAACUCUGUAUUGCGUGGGAUCCUGUGUAACUAUACUACUGGAGAGGUAAGCGGAACUACAAGUGUAGAGGUGAAAUUCGUAGAUAUUUGUAGGAAUUACCGAUGGGGAAUACCAGGUUACUGGACACAUACUGACUCUCAGGCGCGAAAGCGUGAGUAGUCAAAUAGCCAUUAGAUACCCCUGGCCAUUCCACGCCGUAGAUCGAUCAUUACUACGACGUUGUGGGUCGAACCUCGCGCACUACCACACGCGAUGAGUAAUCCGCCUCGUGAGUUCGUACGCGAGUAUGCACACUCUAAGCACUUGACAGGUCACCAUGCACCAGUAGCGGAGCAUCGUGCUUUAUCUCGAAGCCACGCGAAUGCACCUUACCUCAUGCUUGACAUCCCUCGGACAGGUGUUUAAUCACACCCUUCUUUCGGGAUUGAGGUGUCAGGUCGUGCAUGGUUGUCGUCAGUUCGUGUCGUGAGAUGAAGGGUUAAGUACCGCAACGAGCGCAACCCUUGUCUUUACUUGCCAGCAUUCAGUUGGGCACUCUAGAGAGAAAUUCCAGGGAUAACCUGGAGGAAGGUGGGGAUGACGUCAAAUCAUCAUGCCCCUUAUGGGUAGGGUUACACACGUGCUACAAUGGGUGGUACAGAGGGUUGCCAAACCGUGAGGUGGAGCCAAUCCCUUAAAGCCAUUCUCAGUUCGGAUUGUAGGCUGAAACUCGCCUACAUGAAGCUGGAGUUUAUAGUAAUCGCAGAUCAGAAUGCUGCGGUGAAUGCGUUCCCGGGUCUUGUACACGCCGCCCGUCACACCACGAGACUUGGUUGCACAUGAAGUAGCAGGCCUAACCGUAAGGAGGGACGCUCCGAGGGUGUGAUUAGCGAUUGGGGUGAAGUCCUAACAAGGUAACC
This 1490-nucleotide ribosomal RNA is filed under the name uncultured bacterium. RNAcentral's name for it is "partial 16S ribosomal RNA". It matches the Rfam family "Bacterial small subunit ribosomal RNA". The record is from RNAcentral.